AUGGUGACCGACAUCGGAGGAAGUUGGAUGAACUAUUGCAUAGUUCUUCCGGCGGUAGAGGAGGCACUGCGAUCUUCUGGAAUAGAGAGCUUGUCUCUGGAAACUAUCCAACGAGCCUGGCAGCAACCCGCUACCCAGUCAUGCGUGUUUCAUAGAAUCAAGACGAGGCUCGAGAGGGUGGACAAGGACCUUAAGAUCUCGAGCAACAGCCUGUUCAGCGACACCGAAACUCAGUUCCUCCUUGCAACCGUAAUAAUCCUAAGACUAGAUGUAGCAAUGGAAAAGCGUCAGUUAACUCCGGUUGAGUUCGGUUUUAGAAAACUUUUGAAGCAGAGAGUUGUUGGUCUGGAUGCUGUAGAAAGAGCUAGGCGAUGCCAAGCCUCUCAGAUAACUUGGUUAAAAGUAGGUAAUGCAAACAUUGCGUUCUUCAACGCCAAAACAAACUCCAGGAAGAGAAAAAACUUCAUUCAAUCUCUGAAGACAAACAACCAUGUUGCAACAGAGCAUGAUGAUAAGGCCAACAUCAUCUAUGAGCAUUUCAACAAGAUCAUGGGCUCGAACCCGCUUGCUUAUCUUCUAUGA
This 582-nucleotide ribosomal RNA is filed under the name Triticum aestivum (bread wheat). RNAcentral's name for it is "partial small subunit ribosomal RNA". Lineage: Eukaryota; Viridiplantae; Streptophyta; Magnoliopsida; Poales; Poaceae. The record is from RNAcentral.